RNAcentral lists this ribosomal RNA (82 nucleotides) under uncultured bacterium. Its description in RNAcentral is "partial 16S ribosomal RNA". The record is from RNAcentral.
UCACGAAAAGUGGGCUGUACUAGAAGUCGUCGCGCUGACCGCAAGGAGGCAGACGCCCAAGGUAUGGCUCAUGAUUGGGGUG